Molecule: ribosomal RNA, 274 nt
Filed under: uncultured bacterium
Lineage: Bacteria
Description: partial 16S ribosomal RNA
Rfam family: Bacterial small subunit ribosomal RNA
Source: RNAcentral
AUACGGAGGGUGCAAGCGUUACUCGGAAUCACUGGGCGUAAAGCGCGCGCAGGCGGCCAUUUAAGUUGGAUGUGAAAGCCUACGGCUCAACCGUAGAACUGCAUCCAAAACUAUUUAGCUAGAGUGUGAGAGAGGAAGAUGGAAUUAGUUGUGUAGGGGUAAAAUCCGUAGAGAUAACUAGGAAUACCAAAAGCGAAGGCAAUCUUCUGGAACACUACUGACGCUGAGGCGCGAAAGCGUGGGGAGCAAACGGGAUUAGAAACCCUAGUAGUCC